RNAcentral lists this long non-coding RNA (635 nucleotides) under Cricetulus griseus (Chinese hamster). RNAcentral describes it as "lncRNA (ENSCGRG00015031493.1)". The record is from RNAcentral. Lineage: Eukaryota; Metazoa; Chordata; Mammalia; Rodentia; Cricetidae.
GGAGAGAUCAUGGGAGCUUCAUGUACUUGCCCUGACACUUUGUUUUAUGACCCAGUCCUGUGUAUGCUUUGAAAAACUAAACUAGAAAUAGUGUUCCUCUAAUUUUUCUGAGCUGCUCUAGUGAGUUUGUGGAACAUGAAGAUGGGGUCAUGGGAACUUUUUGCGAAUUUGUCAGAAGCACAGGUCACAGACUGGAGGUCUGAGUGACAUCUGAUGUAGGGGACAGACUCCUGGGACUGACCUGAUAAACUAUGCCUGAGCAGUUAUGGUCACCAGGACAUGGAGAAGAUAAUGGUCAAUAUUUGAAGAAACCUGUGCAUCUGACAGAUGUCAUGCCAAAGAAGCUGGGAGAGAUCAUAAUAUAACAUCUUCCUAUGAUCUGGAAUAAGAAAAAGUUUUUUGUGUCUUCAUUGCGUUUUUAUUGCUUAUCAAGAAGAGGAGACAUAGAAGAAGGCAUUUCGGAAGAUGUGAUAAGAAAAGACAUUUUUGUUUUCUUUAACUAUGUUCGUAAUUUCUUCCUCUCAUCUAAUCUCUGUAGUCCUUAAUUCCCUCACAUGGAAAUCAGGAGCAAGUCACAUUGGCUUUCUGAACAUAGAAAAUCAAAGAAGCAAGUGUGAUUAUCUGAUUCUCCAGCA